This 445-nucleotide ribosomal RNA is filed under the name uncultured bacterium. Its description in RNAcentral is "partial 16S ribosomal RNA". It matches the Rfam family "Bacterial small subunit ribosomal RNA", at positions 354 to 796 of the family's 1533-position model. The record is from RNAcentral.
GUGAGGAAUAUUGGUCAAUGGGCGGAAGCCUGAACCAGCCAAGUAGCGUGCAGGACGACGGCCCUAUGGGUUGUAAACUGCUUUUAUACGGGGAUAAAGUGCGCCACGUGUGGAGCAUUGCAGGUACCGUAUGAAUAAGGACCGGCUAAUUCCGUGCCAGCAGCCGCGGUAAUACGGAAGGUCCGGGCGUUAUCCGGAUUUAUUGGGUUUAAAGGGAGCGCAGGCCGGAAGCAAAGCGUGCCGUGAAAUGUAGAUGCUCAACAUCUGAAUUGCGGCGCGAACUGGUUUUCUUGAGUGCAUACGAGGUAGGCGGAAUUUGUGGUGUAGCGGUGAAAUGCUUAGAUAUCACGAAGAACUCCGAUUGCGAAGGCAGCUUUCCGGGGUACAUCUGACGCUGAAGCUCGAAAGUGCGGGAAUCAAACAGGAUUAGAAACCCCUGUAGUCC